UGCAGUCGAGCGGAGAGCUUCGGCUCUUAGCGGCGAACGGGUGAGUAACACGUAGGUAACGUGCCUUCUGGUGGGGAAUAACCGUGGGAAACCAUGGCUAAUACCGCAUAUCGUCCUUCGGGAUGAAAGCCUUCGGGCGCCAGGAGAGCGGCCUGCGUCCCAUUAUUUAGUCCUAGUUGGUAGGGUAACGGCCUACCAAGGGUACGAUGGGUAGCUGGUCUGAGAGGAUGAUCAGCCACACUGGGACUGAGACACGGCCCAGACUCCUACGGGAGGCAGCAGUGGGGAAUAUUGCGCAAUGGGCGAAAGCCUGACGCAGCCACGCCGCGUGAGUGAUGAAGGCCUUCGGGUUGUAAAGCUCUGUCGGGAGGGACGAAGGGAGUAAUCUCUGACGGUACCUCGCAAGAAAGCACCGGCUAACUCUGUGCCAGCAGCCGCGGUAAUACAGAGGGUGCAAGCGUUGCUCGGAUUUACUGGGCGUAAAGCGUACGCAGACGGCUUGGUAGGUCGAAUGUGAAAGCCCCGGGCUCAACCCGGGAAAUGCAUUCGAAACCACCUCGCUCGAGUGUGGGAGAGGGAAGCGGAAUUCCUGGUGUAGAGGUGA
RNAcentral lists this ribosomal RNA (604 nucleotides) under uncultured bacterium. RNAcentral describes it as "bacterial SSU rRNA". It matches the Rfam family "Bacterial small subunit ribosomal RNA", at positions 56 to 684 of the family's 1533-position model. The record is from RNAcentral.